Molecule: ribosomal RNA, 1343 nt
Filed under: uncultured bacterium
Lineage: Bacteria
Description: 16S ribosomal RNA
Rfam family: Bacterial small subunit ribosomal RNA
Source: RNAcentral
GACGAACGCUUGCGGCGUGCUUAACACAUGCAAGUCGAACGGAAAGGCCCUGCUUUUGUGGGGUGCUCGAGUGGCGAACGGGUGAGUAACACGUGAGUAACCUGCCCUUGACUUUGGGAUAACUUCAGGAAACUGGGGCUAAUACCGGAUAGGAGCUCCUGCUGCAUGGUGGGGGUUGGAAAGUUUCGGCGGUUGGGGAUGGACUCGCGGCUUAUCAGCUUGUUGGUGGGGUAGUGGCUUACCAAGGCUUUGACGGGUAGCCGGCCUGAGAGGGUGACCGGCCACAUUGGGACUGAGAUACGGCCCAGACUCCUACGGGAGGCAGCAGUGGGGAAUAUUGCACAAUGGGCGGAAGCCUGAUGCAGCAACGCCGCGUGCGGGAUGACGGCCUUCGGGUUGUAAACCGCUUUCGCCUAUGACGAAGCGUGAGUGACGGUAAUGGGUAAAGAAGCACCGGCUAACUACGUGCCAGCAGCCGCGGUGAUACGUAGGGUGCGAGCGUUGUCCGGAUUUAUUGGGCGUAAAGGGCUCGUAGGUGGUUGAUCGCGUCGGAAGUGUAAUCUUGGGGCUUAACCCUGAGCGUGCUUUCGAUACGGGUUGACUUGAGGAAGGUAGGGGAGAAUGGAAUUCCUGGUGGAGCGGUGGAAUGCGCAGAUAUCAGGAGGAACACCAGUGGCGAAGGCGGUUCUCUGGGCCUUUCCUGACGCUGAGGAGCGAAAGCGUGGGGAGCGAACAGGCUUAGAUACCCUGGUAGUCCACGCUGUAAACGGUGGGUACUAGGCGUGGGGUCCAUUCCACGGGUUCCGUGCCGUAGCUAACGCUUUAAGUACCCCGCCUGGGGAGUACGGCCGCAAGGCUAAAACUCAAAGGAAUUGACGGGGCCCCGCACAAGCGGCGGAGCAUGCGGAUUAAUUCGAUGCAACGCGUAGAACCUUACCUGGGUUUGACAUGGAUCGGGAGUGCUCAGAGAUGGGUGUGCCUCUUUUGGGGUCGGUUCACAGGUGGUGCAUGGCUGUCGUCAGCUCGUGUCGUGAGAUGUUGGGUUAAGUCCCGCAACGAGCGCAACCCUUGUUCACUGUUGCCAGCACGUUAUGGUGGGGACUCAGUGGAGACCGCCGGGGUCAACUCGGAGGAAGGUGGGGAUGACGUCAAGUCAUCAUGCCCCUUAUGUCCAGGGCUUCACGCAUGCUACAAUGGCUGGUACAGAGAGUGGCGAGCCUGUGAGGGUGAGCGAAUCUCGGAAAGCCGGUCUCAGUUCGGAUUGGGGUCUGCAACUCGACCUCAUGAAGUCGGAGUCGCUAGUAAUCGCAGAUCAGCAACGCUGCGGUGAAUACGUUCCCGGG